Molecule: unclassified non-coding RNA, 293 nt
Filed under: uncultured Rhizophlyctis
Lineage: Eukaryota; Fungi; Chytridiomycota; Chytridiomycetes; Spizellomycetales; Spizellomycetaceae
Description: sequence contains ITS1
Source: RNAcentral
AAAAACAUUUGGUCUUGUGCCAAAUUGACACCUGUGUGCACCAUUGUCUGUAUUUGGUAGCUCGAGUGCGUCCCGGGAGCUCAACACUCCCGUUCGGGGCGCCUAUCCUUGCGGGUUCAUAUCCUCCUGGGAGGCGAUGGCACUUGGGCCGGCGGUUAACUCCGCUGGACGGGCCAUCAGCUGAAAGGGGGGAUCCGCUCGGGUUGGGCUACCGCCAUUUUUUGCAAUAACUUUUGUUUGUUCCUACCAGCCUGAACGAAGAGUUAAUCUUUACUGAUUAAUGAUUUUGAAAA